UAUAAUAUUUGACUCUUCGUCUUAUUUAAAAAAUUUACGAUUAAUAGUUUUAUUUUUAUUAGAUAAUAAAUCAUAAAUAGUACUUUAAGUGUGGCUAUUUUUUAAAAAUUUCUUAAAAUUUUUUCAAAUAAGACGGAUGAUCAAACGCUGGAUACGAAAAUCAAAG
RNAcentral lists this microRNA precursor (166 nucleotides) under Oryza brachyantha (malo sina). RNAcentral describes it as "MIR812 microRNA precursor family". It matches the Rfam family "MIR812 microRNA precursor family", at positions 27 to 193 of the family's 205-position model. The record is from Rfam by way of RNAcentral. Lineage: Eukaryota; Viridiplantae; Streptophyta; Magnoliopsida; Poales; Poaceae.